GGCUUCAUAGCUCAGUUGGUAUAGCAUAUGCAUCGCACCGGUAACGCGGAGGUCAUGGGAUCAAAUCCUGUUGGAGCCC
Desmophyllum pertusum is the source of this 79-nucleotide non-coding RNA. Lineage: Eukaryota; Metazoa; Cnidaria; Anthozoa; Scleractinia; Caryophylliidae. The record is from the annotation of a GenBank genome assembly.